This is a long non-coding RNA of Eupeodes corollae, 757 nucleotides long. RefSeq lists it as uncharacterized. The transcript has 3 exons. Lineage: Eukaryota; Metazoa; Arthropoda; Insecta; Diptera; Syrphidae. The record is from RefSeq and is a predicted model, not a curated record.
AUUUCAGUGGAAUGAUUCUUUAAAGAGUGACGAGGUUAGUAGGAUACUUCCAGACUCGCAGAAUAAUAUAACCUUCUCGUAUGUUUGUUUUCAUAAUUCAAUUUGCUACUUUUUAAACGUCAAAUGUAUUUAUGUACUGAAAGGAGAUUAUUAUGUACUUCAAUCGUAUCAAAGUGCGUCAUCGUUUAAAAAAUGGAAUAAAGCACAAUUAUUUCAAAUGAUGUUUCGCCUCUCACAAAUGGGAAUGGCAAGAGUAAAACAACGCUGUCGCCGUCGAAUGCUAUCAACCAGACUGCAAAUGGAAUUGUAUACAAUAAAGAAUAACAUAAACAACACUGAAACGGAAAAGCACCCACGGGAGCAGCAGUAUCAGGAAGAGGAGAAUUCUAUGAUGAUCCUAAUCGGAGCAAAUCUUCAUUCGAAAAGGUUCCUCUACACACAGCCUUCCUAGUAUAUCUUGGCUUUUACCUGCUCAUAAUAUUGGGCUACAUCAAUCAAUUGAUGUGUGCCCCAAAAGUAGCUAAAGAAAUUAAUCGAGAGAUUUUUUUUCAGGGUUAUGUUACGCUUUACGAUGCCUUCGAGAGCUUCUUAUCACGCUAUAUCUAUCGGAAAGCUCGAGAUUGCUGGAAUCCACCGAUUUGCAGUGUCCUGGCGGAGGUAACCCUCAACGAUCUCAUAAUCAAGGACUACGGUUGGACAUUCGAGUUCAAUAGAACAGAAACACGAUGUCUGAACCUGAAUUACAACUACUUGGGAA